ACAGUGAUGGUUCAGUGAUAGAAUUCUCCACCUUUUGUGUGGGAGAACCUGGGUUCGAUUCCUGGCUCUUGUA
RNAcentral lists this transfer RNA (73 nucleotides) under Loxodonta africana (African savanna elephant). It matches the Rfam family "tRNA". Rfam says of the family: Transfer RNA (tRNA) molecules are approximately 80 nucleotides in length. The record is from Rfam by way of RNAcentral. Lineage: Eukaryota; Metazoa; Chordata; Mammalia; Proboscidea; Elephantidae.